Molecule: long non-coding RNA, 750 nt
Filed under: Rattus norvegicus (Norway rat)
Lineage: Eukaryota; Metazoa; Chordata; Mammalia; Rodentia; Muridae
Description: long non-coding RNA NONRATT008909
Source: RNAcentral
ACGAUGGCUGGGACUCCUAUACCUUCUGGGUCUGAGAUGUGAGGUUAGCCCCUAGAAUUUUGCCUACUGACUGCAGGCAAAGUGACAAGCUACCUUUCCUGGGAGAAUCAGAUACCACAGGGUUUUGGAAGGACAUGAAUACCAUUCUGAAAAUAUCAGGUCAACAACUUAUAGAUGUCAUAACACAUUGUUGGGAUGUUAUAGCAAUACACAUAUAUAUAAAAUGUAUGAAUGCCAACUGGUUUAUCUCCCCUGACUGUCUUAGUCCCACCACUGGCCUGGCGCCUGUGAUUAAAUUCUCUAAACUAAAUGCUGCCAUCUGCUGUCCAUGUUGUGAAACUGCAUUAGUGGUUGUACGGGAUUCAUUCUGCUUUGUAGUCAAAUCAGUAAGGGGUCUGAACUCCGACAUCUGCUAGGUCUCUAGCCCUGAAGUUAAGAGGUGCUGUUUGUUGGAUUUCAGAAGCAGUUUGAAGAGUUUAUAAUAACACCUAGAGUGAGCCUUGAUAGCAAAAUUUUCUAUAGUUUAUGGAACUGUAACUUCUAACUUGAACUUGAACUUGUAACUUUGUGACACCCAGAAACUAAGAACCUCCCAGUUGGGACUGGAGGAUCCUAACACUCAUAGAAGCAAAAGGCUCCAGGACUGACUGCCUUAGUAAUGUGUCUGACUCACAGGGCAGAGGCAACCUAGCGCUUGAAGGGAAGCCCCCAGCACCCUUCCUUAGCGCCAUCUCUUGCUAGGACAGCCAC